This 200-nucleotide unclassified non-coding RNA is filed under the name Hevea brasiliensis (rubber tree). The record is from RNAcentral. Lineage: Eukaryota; Viridiplantae; Streptophyta; Magnoliopsida; Malpighiales; Euphorbiaceae.
GCGGUGCCGACCGGCAGCGUCUUCAGCGACAGGCCGAGCAGAAGGACGCUGGCGAUCAUGCUGACGAUGGUGAACACCGACGGCAUCAGGCGCGUGAAACCGUCGGUAUAUUUCACCCAGCCGAUCUCAAGCAAACCCGCAACAAACAGCAUUGUCCAUGCCAUGGCUAAAUACCUCCAUAACAGGGCCGUCCCUGCGGA